GAUAAGAGAAGGAAAAAAAGGAGAAGAAAGAGAAAAUGAGGGAGAGGGAGGAAGAAGAGGAGCAAAUAGAAAAGAGUGGUUUGAUUCUAUUCGAACUUCAGAAGAAUGUUUUCUUUCUUUGCUUGAAAAAGAAAGCUUUUCUUCUUCUUGCUGGAAAAUGAAUGCUUUUCGAAGGGGAGAUGGAGAGACGACCCUCCAUGCCUGUGUUUGGAAAGAAUACAAAA
RNAcentral lists this non-coding RNA (224 nucleotides) under Paramoeba aestuarina. The record is from RNAcentral. Lineage: Eukaryota; Discosea; Flabellinia; Dactylopodida; Paramoebidae.